GUAAAAUUUCUUCAACUAAUGUGCAUAUAGUGAUUGCCUCAAUUUCAUAUUUUCCUUUUAUUAUCACCUGCCAAAUUAGUUUUCAUUUUUGUAUCUUUUUUCUAUAAAAAAGUAAAACGAGGUGUAGACUAUACACUACAUUAUCAACAAAUGUUUGAAUCUGCAGAUGAAUAAAUGUUUCCAUUUUGUUUUAGAAUUCCCCCAUUCAGUUAUUUCACAUGGAUACUUCCACAUCCUUCGUCUCUUUGGAGCAGUCGUCCUUGGUACACUGAUCUUAUGUGCAGUUUAUCUGAGCUGCAAGAUAUAAGAAUAAAAGAUGCAUCAGUAGAAGAGCCAAGUACAGUGUGGAUCCCAUAGAGGAAAUAUAAAGGGAACAAAAUGAACAAGGAGGACAAAAUGGCUAAAGUCUUGUUUGUUAUUGUCAUAUGAUUCUACAUUCGGACAUCUACAUUUCGCAUCAUCAAUCAAUCGACAUAUAGGGAAGAGGACAUUAUAGCAACAUUGCAAUAAAUAAUAAUCAUGAAUCAGUAGAAUUAUGUAUCAUUUCAUUCUAAUAAUGCUGCAUUAACACCGGCAAAAUCUCUUUAGAUUGAAAAUAUGUCUAUAGCAAAGUGUAGCAGGUACAGUGUGUAAUAUUUCAUGUUAUUUUAGUGUCUCUGAUAGCUGAACAUUAUGAAACCUGUAGCCUGUUAUUAACCUGUAUAACCACAUUUCUUACCACUUUUUAAUAAAGUUGUUUUCAUUUCCCAUA
Xenopus laevis (African clawed frog) is the source of this 751-nucleotide long non-coding RNA. RefSeq lists it as uncharacterized. NCBI's taxonomy places the organism in Eukaryota, Metazoa, Chordata, Amphibia, Anura, Pipidae. The record is from RefSeq and is a predicted model, not a curated record. The transcript has 2 exons.